GUGUGAAGAAGGCUUUCGGGUUGUAAAGCACUUUCAGCGAGGAAGAAAGCCUCUGGGUUAAUACCCCAGAGGAAGGACAUCACUCGCAGAAGAAGCACCGGCUAACUCCGUGCCAGCAGCCGCGGUAAUACGGAGGGUGCGAGCGUUAAUCGGAAUUACUGGGCGUAAAGCGCGCGUAGGUGGCUUGGCACGCCGGUUGUGAAAGCCCCGGGCUCAACCUGGGAACGGCAUCCGGAACGGCCAGGCUAGAGUGCAGGAGAGGAAGGUAGAAUUCCCGGUGUAGCGGUGAAAUGCGUAGAGAUCGGGAGGAAUACCAGUGGCGAAGGCGGCCUUCUGGCCUGACACUGACACUGAGGUGCGAAAGCGUGGGUAGCAAACAGGAUUAGAUACCCUGGUAGUCCACGCCGUAAACGAUGUCGACUAGCCGUUGGGACCUUUAAGGACUUAGUGGCGCAGUUAACGCGAUAAGUCGACCGCCUGGGGAGUACGGCCGCAAGGUUAAAACUCAAAUGAAUUGACGGGGGCCCGCACAAGCGGUGGAGCAUGUGGUUUAAUUCGAUGCAACGCGAAGAACCUUACCUACCCUUGACAUCCAGAGAACUUUCCAGAGAUGGAUUGGUGCCUUCGGGAACUCUGAGACAGGUGCUGCAUGGCUGUCGUCAGCUCGUGUUGUGAAAUGUUGGGUUAAGUCCCGUAACGA
Molecule: ribosomal RNA, 700 nt
Filed under: Salinicola salarius
Lineage: Bacteria; Pseudomonadati; Pseudomonadota; Gammaproteobacteria; Oceanospirillales; Halomonadaceae
Description: bacterial SSU rRNA
Rfam family: Bacterial small subunit ribosomal RNA
Source: RNAcentral